CGCGAUUCGCCCUUCGGGGUGCAGCAGGCGCGAAAACUUUACAAUGCCGGCAACGGCGAUAAGGGAACCUCGAGUGCCAGGUUACAAAUCUGGCUGUCGUGAUGCCUAAAAAGCAUUGCAUAGCAAGGGCCGGGCAAGACCGGUGCCAGCCGCCGCGGUAACACCGGCGGCUCGAGUGGUAACCGUUAUUAUUGGGUCUAAAGGGUCUGUAGCCGGCCGGAUAAGUCUCUUGGGAAAUCUGGCAGCUUAACUGUCAGGCUUUCAGGAGAUACUGUCUGGCUCGAGGCCGGGAGAGGUGAGAGGUACUUCAGGGGUAGGGGUGAAAUCUUGUAAUCCUUGAAGGACCACCAGUGGCGAAGGCGUCUCACCAGAACGGACCUGACGGCAAGGGACGAAAGCUAGGGGCACGAACCGGAUUAGAUACCCGGGUAGUCCUAGCCGUAAACGAUACUCGCUAGGUGUCGGCCACGGUGCGACCGUGGUCGGUGCCGUAGGGAAGCCGUGAAGCGAGCCACCUGGGAAGUACGGCCGCAAGGCUGAAACUUAAAGGAAUUGGCGGGGGAGCAC
This 567-nucleotide ribosomal RNA is filed under the name uncultured archaeon. Its description in RNAcentral is "bacterial SSU rRNA". It matches the Rfam family "Archaeal small subunit ribosomal RNA", at positions 312 to 879 of the family's 1478-position model. The record is from RNAcentral.